This is a long non-coding RNA of Pecten maximus, 2675 nucleotides long. RefSeq lists it as uncharacterized. The record is from RefSeq and is a predicted model, not a curated record. The transcript has 3 exons. NCBI's taxonomy places the organism in Eukaryota, Metazoa, Mollusca, Bivalvia, Pectinida, Pectinidae.
AUUGUCAGAGGGUUGCCGUGUGACACCUGCCGACCAAUUGAGUUACGAUUAUUAGCUGCCGAGCUAUCCCAGGGAGGAUAUGAUUAGUCCUGAUAUGAGAACAGAUCAAUGGAUUGUAGGAGGAACACUACGUACACCAGCCUUACUCAGGAUAUACAUAUAUGCUAAUAUUGGAAUAACUAAUAUAAGACCCCGCCAUUUUCUACUAUAUCACGUGGUUUUGUGCUUGCAUUAUAAACAGCCCUAUCGGGAUCGUUUGUCUUUACUACAGAGAUAAGACUCUCUUGGAAACAUCAAGCCUUUGUGUUUUGGAACUUCCACAAAGCCGUUAUGACGGGAACCGUGAUUCUGUUUUGUUCAGUCUUAUUGUCCAGCAUAUUUUUGUCAAACGCAAACUGGUACGGAAAGAGAGGAAGCGAAGUUGAUGACGCCUUCCAGAGAUACCUAGAAGGCAGACUUGUGAAAUCAAUUAACAUUCGGCAUAAUGACGACAGGCAAGUCCUGUUCAAGAUAUCGAAAUUAAUACAGGAAUGGCAGCUGAAAAACAAAGCAAACGAGGUGGCAGAAGUGACGUCAUAUGACCGGAAGUGAACAACUCAAUCAAACGAGACGAGAAUCCAAAGCACCAAUAUUGUAGUGAUGAACAUAUCCUGGGCGGUGCUUUUGUCUCGAAGGUUCUCGUUUUACCCUCGUGGAGUUCCCAGAAGAUUUUAUUUUCGUAUUGAUAAACGUAUACAUAGACUACGCACGAAUUUCUGCGCGUGAAAACAUGGACGUGCAUAUUUCAUGUGUGUAUUUAUCGCUGUUAAGAUUACCAAUAGGAAACUAAAAGGAUGACAAUGUACUUUCUUAUUUUUGUUCUUACAUAAUGAAGCAUUGUUAUCAUUCAUCAAUAUCAUCACUACACCAACAUCAGGUACAAAGACACUAGCAAUAUCACCUGAAACAACACAUGAUCAAAAAUGUACCUGUAUAUAUUUGCUUGAAAUACUUAUAUAUUUUUUAAUUCACGUACUAUUACACUUAACUUGUCAUGUUUUUAUAAGUAGAAUCUCCAAUCACCAAUCAAUUAAGUCAAUUACCAAUUAAAGAUAUACUAACAAAACAAACACUUUCAUAAAAACAAAGCUAACAUCUGAUGCCUACUUUUUGCUGAGCAUAUGAAUCUUACAUGUACAUAUUCUUGAAUAUUGUAACCAUUGUUUCUGAGUGUUUAGCUGUAUACUAUUCCAAUAAAACCAGAUAAUUAUACAUAUAACACGACUCGAAGUAAACACAUAUAUAGAUAUCAGUUACCGGCGAAAUAGCCCACAGUAAACUCCUAUAUAUAUAUCCCUACUAGUUUUAUUUACACAAAUAUAAUCACUAUCACUUACUGGUCUCGAUUGCACAAAUAGAGCCAUACAUAUACAAAACUACUACCAACUGGUCAAAAUUACACACAUGGAUAAUUACCUUUAUUUUUCUGUCCAAAUCAAAUUCAACACAUAUAAAAUAACCGCUUACCAGUCUAGAUUGCACAAAUAUACACACAUAAAAUAACCGCUUACCGGUGUUAAUUAUACACAUGCACAUAUGUAAUAACCUCUUUCCGCUUCAAAUGACACACAUACACAAGUAAAUCUUAUGUGUACCGUUCAAAUUACACGCACAGCAAACAUGCAUACAUUAUACACCUCAUAUAUACCUCACAUACUUACCACGUCAAACCACAUAAAGGCUUUAAUUACAUACAUUACAUAAUUACAGUUACCGGUCCAAAUUACACAAACACGCAUAUAUGCUAACCGCUUAUCGAUCGGUGUAAAGCACAUAUAUAUACAUAUAUAAUUACCGCUUAACGGUCUAAAUUGAUCACAUAUGUAAUUGCGACUUUCAUGUACCGAUGUAAAUCACGCACAUAGCAAACAUACAUAUAUGAUUAUCGCUUUAAGACCUAAAUUACUUACAUACACAAUGACCACUUACCGGUCCAAAAUAUGAAAAUAUAUAUAUAUGCAUAUAUAUAUAAUUACCUCUUUCCGGUCCACUUUUUACACACAUAUAAUAACGAUUUACCGGUUCAAAUUACACACAAAGCAAACCGGUAUAUAUAACUACCACAUAACAAUCAUAUAAAACGUCCAAUUACCGGUCAUACAGAAAGUAAACACAUAUAUGAGAAAGAGGAGAAAAUGCAGCGAUAAGACCAGGACUCGAACUCAUGACCUCCGAAUUCUAGACUGAUACUCAGACCGUUUGAGCUACGUGGUCAUCGGCGUUCAGCCCAGUCAAGUUUUACUACAUUCAUUCCUCCUUCCAGAAAGUGUUCGACCCCGACGGCACACACGAGGCCCUAUUCAACCUCACUUGGUAUUUAAUUAGGCGUCGAAUGUAAAAGGAGAGGAAAAAUGCAGUGGCAAAACCGGGAUUCGAACCUAGAACAUUUAAACUCUAUGCAGAUGUUCUAAUCAUUUGAGCCUUCUGGCCACCGGCGUUCAGUAAAGUUCGGAUAAACAUAACUCAUAGCUCAUUCUUACCUCUCUAUGUUUUGAACAUAAUUAACAUUCACAUACAAUAUACCAUUUAGCCGUCUAAGUUAUAAAGACACAACAAUACCACUUAACCGUCUAACUCCCACAAAAACCUGAACUCGCCUGUAUAUCUAUCGCUAAUUAAAGACUGUGUAUACAUCA